CCGGGGUUGUCGGUUUCUGUGUGUGCCCCGAGCUCUACCACACAACGUGCCUGUUCCACCGGCACAGGAAUAAAAGGAGAUCGCUUGGAGGAAAAUCAGUGAGGACGUCGGAUUGUCUGUUGUGUGUUUUAUUCAGGUGGGUUAUGAUGAAGGAAAUGGAAGAAACAGAGGGACACGUAUUUGCAGAAGAGGAGAAAGGAGACAGAGUGGAGGAGUGGGUCGGGGGCAGGGCCAUCAGGACCCUCCAUCACCAAAGGGGGACGAGCAGUAACAUGGAGAGGGGGGUCGAGGACAGUCAGGCUGCAGAGGACUUCCAUGAAGAUCAGGGCCAGCAGAUGAGAACAUCAUCUACUCCUGUCUGAAACACUACUACCUGCUGCCGCUUCUGCUCCUCCAACACCUGGCCCAUCCACUCCAGCUGCUGUUUCCACAGAGACCCCAAGGAGGAGACCCCUGAGUGACUCCAGACAGCAGCUGACAGAGGUGGAGAGGGUGUUGUUGGAGGCCCUGAGGACCAGUCCACCUGCAGCAGGAGGUGGAGAGGAUGGAAAGUCUGCUUCAUUCCCUGCAGAGAUUGCCGCUUCAGAUGAACAAAUUUCUCUUCAAAUUCAUAGACUGAUGUAUAAAUAUAGCACUGUUCUGCUUAAUCUAUAACAAUUGGAACCUACAGAAUAGUUUUGGUUUCUACAAACUGAGGUAAAUAUCUCUGCAGGGAAUGAGCCAGACUUUAAUCUCCUGUCUCCUCUCCGUCUGAUCCCUCUCUCUUCCAUUAAACUCCUCCA
This is a long non-coding RNA of Cheilinus undulatus (humphead wrasse), 782 nucleotides long. RefSeq lists it as uncharacterized. The transcript is spliced from 4 exons. Lineage: Eukaryota; Metazoa; Chordata; Actinopteri; Labriformes; Labridae. The record is from RefSeq and is a predicted model, not a curated record.